Non-coding RNA from Aegilops tauschii subsp. strangulata, 2811 nucleotides. The record is from RefSeq and is a predicted model, not a curated record. Lineage: Eukaryota; Viridiplantae; Streptophyta; Magnoliopsida; Poales; Poaceae.
CAGCAUUGAUAUAUUAGCUGUGCAUGAGCAUUAAACCAAAUACAAAAGUCUGAAGGUAACUAGCAUUUAUUAUAUUAUAUAUAAAAAACGCUUAACGAGAUAACCAGAAAAAAGAGAAUUAGUCUAGAAAAUCCUACAAUAAUUAGAAACAUCUAGCCAUUAAUUUAAACUGAUUAGGCGACCAUAGCCAAUGGGUUAAAAGGUAAAGAAAUUACCCACCAUUGCCUUUGAUAAGUUAUCUCACCCACGUCAUCUACAAAAAACAAACUCGCCCACGUUAAAAAAUAUUACCAAGGCAACACAAUUUUCGUGUAAGAUCUCUCCUCUCUCAUUAAGAAAAAAAAAUGAUGCCCGCUAAAGAAAAGGAUUAUUAGUUUUAAGUUAAAAAAACAACCCCCAAACCUCAUAGCUAUUCGCUCAAUCUUUUCCAUCUCUUCUUUCUCUCAAACGUGAAACAGCGGGAGCCAGGGAGGCGACCGGCGAUAGCCACGACCGUAACCCAGGCCAGGAACGCUGGAGACGAAGGCUAUCACCGGAGACCGAAGAAGACGACCAGGACUCCAGGAGCAAACUGAUUGAUGAUGGUCGCCGCCGACUUCUGCUACCAGUUUAUUGAAUCUUCUUGAACGAUCAAUUAACCUACCUUGCGCACAGAGGUACAUGUAACUCGGCUUCAGGUCCUAGCCAAAUCAGUCCUACUGUGCGGCACAGGUAACAACACACGUACAGCUGCAGCCGAAGAAGGAGUUAUGUGAUAUGUGGAGUACGUGCAGAUGGAGGCAACAGUGGGAGAUGGAGCAGAAUAAGAUUAGAAACCAUGUUCCAGUGUGUCACUAUAUUGAUUCGGCAUUUGGACCCCAUUGAAUGUUGGUGUGAUGUAGUUGCAAACAAUGGUUAUCACAGCCUCAUAGGUGCGUCAUCUAGAUGUUUGUCUUAUAUGUAGUAGUGUGUAUUCUCUCACUCUUUUCAACUAUUCUCCAUCCAAACAAGUGACACGAUGCUAAAAAGUUUCUUCAGCUCGGAGUAUUAGUAAGUAAAUACUCUUUUGUAUGUAUAUAUUAUAUAGCUGUAAAGGAUUUUUUAUUUGAUAUAUAUUUUACUGUUUAAACAGCCUUGGAAGAGCCCUUGAUUUAUUUGGGAAAAGAAAGUGGAUGCACCAUGUGAGUUAUUUGGAACCUUGAUGUAGCAAAUUAAUACAUAUAUGACCUUCAGCAGAGCUCAUCUAUUUAACAUAAAAAGUAAAUGAUGGGUUAACUAGAAAAAAGAAAAUACCUUAGAAAUUCUAACAAAAAUUAGAAACAUCUAGCAUUAAUUUAAUAAUUCGGGAAACCACAGCCAAUAGAUCUCAACAAUUACCUAUCAACGUUACAAAUGAAAGAAAAUUACCCACCUAUGCCAUUACUAUUUUCCUACGGUACAUAUGUGCAUAAACAAAAUCAAUCAAAGGUUGCCUGCUAUUGCAGCCGGGAAAAAAGGCACUAGAAAAAAUAGAAAGAGAACUCCUCGUGAAAAAAAGGGAAAGAAAGCUGCGGGCUAUACAUCCUCCUGUGGCCGCCAUGUCCAAUCUAUAUGCGCCUGCCAUGUCUGAUCUGUAUGCCCUUGACAUGUCCUCCCUUCUUCAUGAGUUUGAUCUGCCUGUCCUCCUUCUCCAUGAGUUUGAUCUGCCUUGACCUAUUCACUAAUCUGCAAAUAGGAGUAAUCUACAAAAAGUUGACCUAUCUGCCGCCAAAAAUCAUCAAGUACCAUGGUUCCGAACGAUGUUGUGUAUGGGCUUCAGUUGUCCGUACACACUGGGUAAGAAAAUCGCUUCAUGCAUCGCGACUGAAAGCAAGCUCUAGGUAUUGGGGAGACCAAUCAAUCGACUAAAUAGAAGAGUUGUGCUCAUAAUGGCUUGCAUGCAACCAUAAUAUGCAUGGAACAUUCGAGCAGACACUUUCAUUGGUCAUGUAAGAGGCACCGAAAGAAUCAGAUCUGCUUUUGUAGAUUACUGGAUAGCUCAAGGAGGUGCCGACAGAGUAAGAUCGGUGUUCGUAGAUUACUGGACAUGUAAGGUAGACAAGCGCGCUCUCUGGCUCUGUCUUAAUCCAACUAUUUUGUCAUAUUAGUUCAUUGUAAGUAUUCAUAUUAGUAGAUGCCUUCCAAAAAUGCUUUUCUUGGAUCAUUUCCUUUCCUCAGUAGUAGUAUGUCAUUUGGUAUUUUGUUUUCAAUUCGACGCUUUCUGAUGAUGUAUUUCUUCCAUCGCCAGCAGAAUCCACACAGGAAAGCUACCAGACUUGAUGGAUCAAUCGAAUCAAUCGACUACUUGCAUCUAGCAACAUGAUACUCACACUGAUCGGUUUUAAUUGCGCCUGUUUCCAUGUUUUCCACUACAUGAAUGAGCAGUCCAAGCGCUGGCAACAUGCCUCCGCCGUUUAACCUAAUAGGGCAUCAUGUGCCCAUACAAAGUAGAAACUAACGUCACAAGAGGUAGUUUUUAUCUUGAUGGUGGGUAAUUGUUUCGUCGCUACUCUUACAAAUCCUCUUGGCAACUAUAUGCAAUCCUUCUCAGAAGUCCUUCGCCGCCACACGAGAGCAAAAAAGUUGGUUGCCGGACAUGUGGUUUUAUAAGCCGCAGCCGCCGGGGAAGGCCAAUGACGAUGUACCCCUACAAGCAAAUACAUAGUCAAGAUUUUUUUGGAGAAGACCAAUGUUGAUGCGCCAGGGUAAGAAGUACAGAUAGUCUAGGUUACCUUUUUCUUUGGAGAAAUUGAGUUGAUUAUGACGUUCUACUUGUAGCUCAUUUCUUUAUAAAAUUUACCUAUGGAUCAAGCA